GGGCAGGAGACUUGCCCUGCUGGAUCGCUGCUCCGUCCCGUGAGUUCCGUGCAACAGGGCAGUGUGUUGAAGUAACAAGGCUCCCUCCGUCAGCACCAGGAGAUUUGCUCCUAGAAUGUAACACACCAACCGUCAGGAUCCGCAAAGUCUGGUUCACUUGUUUCUCCUCCUUCCCCUCCUGAGAUGGUGGCCCUCGCUGGAUGCAUUGCUCUGAUGAGGAAGUAGAGAGCUCCCUACUUCCUCAUCACAAAAGGCAAACCUAAAUCCAGCUCCUUCAACUGCACAGGGGAGGGAAUCACGGCACCUGCCUCCCAGGACUGUUAACGGAAAAUACACGUGUGCUGGCACGCCCCACACACUCACUGAACUGCAGCCCCUGCGCAUGAAUUCUCAACUUCCCAGCCAUCUGCCUGCCCCUGCCCUCACCCCCGCAGCAGCCAGAGGGAUCCUGGUAAAACCUGGGCUCCAUCGGGGGCCCACGCCGACUGACCAUCCACAGUGGUCUCCUCUCUGGUAACCCUCAUCCUCCCUGUGGCCAACCGGCUCUAGCUGCUCAAAGCCCAGCCCAUGUCUGUGCCCUCAGCCUGUCCACCACCGGGCCCCUGGCUCACCUGCCCAUCCUCUGCCGGAAACUCUCCUCGGAGGAAGAUGUGAAGCC
Molecule: long non-coding RNA, 658 nt
Organism: Neogale vison (American mink)
Lineage: Eukaryota; Metazoa; Chordata; Mammalia; Carnivora; Mustelidae
Exons: 3
Source: RefSeq, a predicted model, not a curated record